AGAGUUUGAUCAUGGCUCAGGACGAACGCUGGCGGUGUGCCUCACACAUGCAAGUCGAACGGGGUAGCAAUACCCAGUGGCGGACGGGUGAGUAACACGUGGGAAUCUGCCUUUUAGAGGGGGAUAGCAGGCCGAAAGGCCUAUUAAUACCCCAUAUGCCGCAAGGUGAAAGGAGCAAUCCGCUAGAAGAUGAGCCCGCG
Molecule: ribosomal RNA, 200 nt
Filed under: uncultured bacterium
Lineage: Bacteria
Description: partial 16S ribosomal RNA
Rfam family: Bacterial small subunit ribosomal RNA
Source: RNAcentral